This 309-nucleotide ribosomal RNA is filed under the name Uranoscopus scaber (stargazer). Its description in RNAcentral is "partial 12S ribosomal RNA". It matches the Rfam family "Bacterial small subunit ribosomal RNA", at positions 866 to 1341 of the family's 1533-position model. The record is from RNAcentral. Lineage: Eukaryota; Metazoa; Chordata; Actinopteri; Uranoscopiformes; Uranoscopidae.
CCCCCGCCAGGGUAAUACGAGCACGAGCUUAAAACCCAAAGGACUUGGCGGUGCUUUAGACCCCCCUAGAGGAGCCUGUCCUAGAACCGAUAAACCCCGUUCAACCUCACCCCUCCUUGUUUUUACCGCCUAUAUACCGCCGUCGUCAGCUUACCCCAUGAGGGUAUAAUAGUGAGCACAAUCGGCACAGCCCAAAACGUCAGGUCGAGGUGUAGCGCAUGGAGGGGGAAGAGAUGGGCUACAUUCCCUGCUGAAGGGAAUACGGAUGAUAAACUGAAACGUUUAUACUGAAGGAGGAUUUAGCAGUAA